Long non-coding RNA from Sphaeramia orbicularis (orbiculate cardinalfish), 266 nucleotides. RefSeq lists it as uncharacterized. The record is from RefSeq and is a predicted model, not a curated record. Lineage: Eukaryota; Metazoa; Chordata; Actinopteri; Kurtiformes; Apogonidae. The transcript has 3 exons.
AAGGGAGGAAAAUGUAAUAGUGUCUAUAGAUGGAAUUAAUAUUGAAAGGGUAUCUGAACUUGGCUUUUUGGGAGUAAUACUGGAUGAAGGUCUGACAUGGAAAUCCCAUAUUGCAUAUGUGAGGAAGAAGAUGUCUAAGAGUAUUUUCAUUCUAAAUAAGGUAAAGCAUUUGUUAGAUUACAGGGCAAUGCAAACACUGUAUUGUGCACUUAUAUUGCCAUAUAUCAGCUACUGUGUGGAAGCAGGCCUUUGGAAACACGGAGGAG